Molecule: long non-coding RNA, 1239 nt
Organism: Lagenorhynchus albirostris (white-beaked dolphin)
Lineage: Eukaryota; Metazoa; Chordata; Mammalia; Artiodactyla; Delphinidae
Exons: 3
Source: RefSeq, a predicted model, not a curated record
CAAGCCACUUUCGCUGCAGUGAUUUUUCCAUUAAUCAGAAUCAUUUGGCCUCUGUCGCUAGUGGUUACUCAUCCUUCUAAUUGGCUUCCCUUCUCCAAUGCCAUUUUCCGCUCUGAAGCCAAUGGAAGGACCCACAUCCUGGCAGCCAGUGGAGUCAUCUGGAAAGGCCUCUAAACAAGUAAGAGAGUGAUGGGGCAACGCCUAUUGCACCAUCCUAGCCACAGGCCUCGGAGAGCUGGUUUUCCUGUAACCAGGGACCGGCCUCACCACGUAACCCCAGCCACUGGUGGAACCAACUGAGAAGUCGGGCUGGGCCCACCACUGAUGGGAGCCCAGGGCGGAGGCUCCCUGUCCUCCUCCCCUAGUCUCUAGCCCUCGCGGACCCACCUACCUUUACGUGGUCCUUCAGAUCUGCUCCCCUGAAAAGAAACCAGAGGCUUCCAAACAAACUCGCCAAACAUUAUAGAGCAUUGUACUCAAAGUCUAUUGACAGCGACAUCCUUACCAGCUGGGCACUCAGAAAGACAAUCCUCGGGCCCCGUGGAAGCAGAAUCUGUGUUCUACAAGAUCCCCAGCGAUUCAAGCGGAACCAGAGCCUGGGAGGCACCGCCACCGAGAGGGAACCGUCCUUGCCCUGGCUCUACCUGUGGAGAAUCUAUCUAUUGGCUGGGCGCCGGGCUUUUCUUUAGCUCCCAGGUGAUUCCAGUGUAUCACUGGCGAUGAGACACACUGCUCCGGAGUCAGGGCUUCCUCCGCCCUCGGCUGUUUCUGUUAGCUCAAAUAUACUAUCACGUGCCAAUUGAUUUCCAAAAUUACCCUUAGGGGAAUCAAUCAUGCCAGAUAGUCUCACUGGUCAUGUAAUCCAGCUACAAGAAUAGAAUCCUGACUUUGGCUGGAUACCUAGCUACUCAGAAUAAAGGCUACAUUCCACCGUCCCUACAUGCUGGGUAGAGCCAUGUAAGUGAAUUCUGGCCAAGAAGUGUUAUGGGCAGUUUUCAAAAGGUUCUGUUGAGAGGAGUGUGUACUCCUUGCCCUCCCUCCUCCCUACUAGCUGGAAUGUAGGUGUGAUAACUGACAUUCAGCAGCCAUCUUGGAUCAGGAAGUAGCUGUGGGCGUGAAACCCAUGCAGGGUGGAAACAAAGUGGAAGGAGCCUGGGCCUCUGACACUACGGAGCCCAUUCCAGCCCUGGGGAGCCAUGUCUGAGCUUUGCCAUAAAAGAAAUAAACUUAAUUCACUUA